UUUUUUGUUAAAUGAACCAGACUAUCCUUUUAUGAAAAAGUUUUGAAUUGGGUGCACAAGGGCACAAAAGAGAUUUGAUGAGGGGAGUUUAUUUUAACUUAUGAAAAAGUUUUUUUUGUCUUUUGUUAUUUUUUAUUUUUUAUUAACAUCCUAAUAGAAAGAAAAGAGACGUUUUUUGUAUUUUUAAUUUAUAUUAAUAAUAAAAAAUAACUAACUUACAUUGAUAAAAAGGGAAAAA
RNAcentral lists this long non-coding RNA (238 nucleotides) under Lathyrus oleraceus (garden pea). RNAcentral's name for it is "Pisum sativum (pea) long non-coding RNA (PSAT_LNC040270)". The record is from RNAcentral. Lineage: Eukaryota; Viridiplantae; Streptophyta; Magnoliopsida; Fabales; Fabaceae.